Molecule: ribosomal RNA, 262 nt
Filed under: uncultured bacterium
Lineage: Bacteria
Description: partial 16S ribosomal RNA
Rfam family: Bacterial small subunit ribosomal RNA
Source: RNAcentral
CAUUCCCUACGGGACGCAGCAGUGAGGAAUAUUGGUCAAUGGGCGGGAGCCUGAACCAGCCACGCCGCGUGAGGGAAGAAGGUACAGCGUAUCGUAACCCUCUUUUGUCAGGGAACAAAGGCGGGGACUAGUCCCCGGAUGAGGGUACCUGAAGAAAAAGCAUCGGCUAACUCCGUGCCAGCAGCCGCGGUAAUACGGAGGAUGCGAGCGUUAUCCGGAUUUAUUGGGUUUAAAGGGUGCGCAGGCGGCCUGUUCAGUCAGC